CCCAGACUCCUACGGGAGGCAGCAGUGGGGAAUAUUGCACAAUGGGGGGAACCCUGAUGCAGCGACGCCGCGUGGGUGAAGGAGUACUUCGGUACGUAAAGCCCUAUCAGCAGGAAAGAAAAUGACGGUACCUGACUAAGAAGCCCCGGCUAACUACGUGCCAGCAGCCGCGGUAAUACGUAGGGGGCAAGCGUUAUCCGGAUUUACUGGGUGUAAAGGGAGCGUAGACGGCAGUGCAAGUCCGGAGUGAAAGCCCGGGGCUCAACCCUGGGACUGCUCUGGAAACUGUAAGGCUGGAGUGCGGGAGGGGCAGGCGGAAUUCCUGGUGUAGCGGUGAAAUGCGUAGAUAUCAGGAGGAACACCGGCGGCGAAGGCGGCCUGCUGGACUGCAACUGACGUUGAGGCCCGAAAGCGUGGGGAGCAAACAGGAUUAGAUACCCGAGUAG
This 446-nucleotide ribosomal RNA is filed under the name uncultured bacterium. RNAcentral describes it as "bacterial SSU rRNA". It matches the Rfam family "Bacterial small subunit ribosomal RNA", at positions 330 to 793 of the family's 1533-position model. The record is from RNAcentral.